GCUCGUGUAGUCUAGUUGGUAGGACUCAGCCCUGCCACGGCUGGAACCCGGGUUCGAAUCCCGGCGCGUGCA
This 72-nucleotide transfer RNA is filed under the name Candidatus Heimdallarchaeota archaeon AB_125. RNAcentral describes it as "tRNA-Gly". It matches the Rfam family "tRNA". Rfam says of the family: Transfer RNA (tRNA) molecules are approximately 80 nucleotides in length. Their secondary structure includes four short double-helical elements and three loops (D, anti-codon, and T loops). Lineage: Archaea; Promethearchaeati; Candidatus Heimdallarchaeota. The record is from RNAcentral.